GUGGGGAAUCUUGCGCAAUGGGCGAAAGCCUGACGCAGCAACGCCGCGUGGGGGAUGAAGCUUCUCGGAGUGUAAACCCCUUUCGACCCGGACGAAUGCCCGCAAGGGUUUGACGGUACGGGUAUAAGAAGCCCCGGCUAACUACGU
RNAcentral lists this ribosomal RNA (147 nucleotides) under uncultured bacterium. Its description in RNAcentral is "partial 16S ribosomal RNA". It matches the Rfam family "Bacterial small subunit ribosomal RNA", at positions 354 to 506 of the family's 1533-position model. The record is from RNAcentral.